Molecule: long non-coding RNA, 1092 nt
Organism: Crotalus tigris (Tiger rattlesnake)
Lineage: Eukaryota; Metazoa; Chordata; Lepidosauria; Squamata; Viperidae
Exons: 3
Source: RefSeq, a predicted model, not a curated record
CAGGUGGUCCUUUGGUUCCAGAGGUGGAUGAAGAAGGAAGCAAAUCAGAAUUUGAUACUUCGGUUACUGCCCUGCGUAGCCAGUCAGUUGUAUAAUCUAGACUGUCUGCAGUGAUGGAUAAUUUGGAAAAGAAACAGGUUGGCAGAAAGUUGCUGUGAGAAAACUAUUUCUGUGAAAUGGGACCAUACAGUGAAUACUCAUCAGAUUGAAUUUUAGACAGCUGAAGGGAUCUUUCCAAUUGAAAUUCAUCACCAGAUGCUGACUCAAAAAUAAAAGCUUCAAGAGUUGACAUUUGCCAGCAAUGGUUGUCAUACUAUGAAAAUGAAGGUGCAGAAUUUCACAGCAUCCUGUCAGCUGAUGAAACAAGGGCUCACCAAGAAACAAAGUAUCAGUCCAUGGAAUAUCAUCACAACAGUUCAGUUUUUAAAAAAAAUCAAAACACAGGCUUCAGCAGGAAAUUUCAUGUUUUUUUGUGGCAGAUUCAUAUCUAUUUCUUUGAACUAUCAGCUCAGAAUGCUACACUGCAACACUCAAAAUUUUGAAACAACAAUUCAGCAGGAUUCAAAAAUACAAGGAAGAAUUUUUUCUGCAGCAUAAUAAUAGAAGGCCUCAUACCUGAAAAGCCAUCUAAAAGGCUUUGAAAUUAGUUGAAUCGCACUGUCCCCAUCCACCAUAUACCCCAGUAUCUAACUAGGAACUAAGUUGAGUCAGGGUACCAUGUAACUUCCAUCUUUUCUCAAAAUUUAAAGACUAAUUUUGUGGGCAUCUGUUUAACUCAAAAGAAGAGGCGGAAAGGAUUAUUGGGGCCUGGUUGUAAAGACAAACUAUGAAGUUAUUUUGUGACAACUUUAAGAAUCUAGUCAAUCAUUCACAGAAGUAUGAUGAAUGAUAGUGAUUAUUUGGAGAAUAACAAUCUGUAAAGAAAGAACUCAUUUCAAUAAUUAUUUUCCUGUUUUACUAAUUAAAAUAGUCCUAUUUAAAUUAACUCCUUCAUGGAUUACUGUCUUGUCAUGGCGAAGGGGCUUGCGUAACUCAAUGAAGCUAUGAGCUAUGCCGUGCAGGGCCACCCAAGAUGGACAGGUCAUAGCAGAG